UUUAAAAAAAAUUAUGCUGUUAUCCCUAAGGUAAUUAAUUUUAUUAAUUUAUAUUAUAAGAUAUUUUAUUCAUAAAUUAUUGUUUUUUAAAAAAAAAUUUUUUUAAUUUUUUUAUUACCCCAAUAAAAUUUAUUUAAUAAAUUUAAUUUAAAUUAUUAUUUUAAAAUUUAUUAAUAAAUAAAAUUCUAUAGGGUCUUGUCGUCUUUUUAAAAAUAUUUAAGUUUUUUUACUUAAAUAAUAAUUUAAAUUUUUAUUUAAUUGAAAUAGUUUAUAUCUCAUUAGAUCAUUCAUACAAGUUUUUAAUUAAAAAACAAAUUAUUAUGCUACCUUUGUACAGUUAAAUUUCUGCAGCCAUUUAAUUU
Molecule: ribosomal RNA, 362 nt
Filed under: Trachyusa sp.
Lineage: Eukaryota; Metazoa; Arthropoda; Insecta; Hymenoptera; Braconidae
Description: partial 16S ribosomal RNA
Source: RNAcentral